This 221-nucleotide unclassified non-coding RNA is filed under the name soil metagenome. Its description in RNAcentral is "partial contains 5.8S ribosomal RNA, internal transcribed spacer 2, and large subunit ribosomal RNA". The record is from RNAcentral.
AACCUUAUGGACCUGCGGGCGUAUACCUGCGGAGGGAUCAUUACAGAGUUCAUGCCCUCACGGGUAGAUCUCCCACCCUUGAAUACUAUACCUUUGUUGCUUUGGCGGGCCGCUUUGGCUACUGGCUCUGGCUAGUAAGUGCCCGCCAAAGAACCCCAAAACUCUGAAUAUUAGUGUCGUCUGAGUACUAUAUAAUAGUUAAAACUUUCAGCAAUGGAUCU